Molecule: non-coding RNA, 360 nt
Organism: Durio zibethinus
Lineage: Eukaryota; Viridiplantae; Streptophyta; Magnoliopsida; Malvales; Malvaceae
Source: RefSeq, a predicted model, not a curated record
GUAUGUUAGCUGUGUACAUCUCAUUGUCUGAGGAUGGCAAAAAGUGAUUUAAGGUUGUUUAUAGUGUUUCAUAUUAUCCUUGCUUGAAAAGUCCUAUACGAGUGCUAUGAAGAUGUUGCAAGUGGAAGCGAGAUUUGCAGUGUUGUUUUGGUUGGGCGUCAAUUUCAUCUCGAAGAGGAUUUACAGAUAGUCGGAUGUAUUAUAACCGAUGCGAAUGCCACUGCUUUUCUUCAUGCCAAAGCCUAUGGCUCAACUCCUUGAGGUAUAUCAGAGAGAGAGGCCAAAAAUUGGCGAAUGCUUAAAGAACGAGCAGGUUUGAAGCUUAAUGAUCUCAUCUUGUUCCUGGAGAAAAUGUCAGAU